UACGGGGAUUGGCACACACGAGUUGAUCCGUAGAUAUCCGAAUGGGGCAACCCAGUAUGUUGAAGACAUACUAUCCAAUAUGGAGGCGAACCCGCUGAACUGAAACAUCUAAGUAGGCGGAGGAGAAGAAAACAAAAGUGAUUCCGUAAGUAGUGGCGAGCGAACGCGGAAUAGCCCAAACCAAAGUUGUUACGGCAAUUUUGGGGUUGUAGGACCACGAGAUUUCUUGCGGAUUUAAUUAGAAUUACCUGGAAAGGUAAACCGAAGAGGGUGAUAGUCCCGUAUUGGUAAGAGAAGAUAAGAAUAGUGGUAUCCUGAGUAGGUCGGGGCACGUGAAACCUUGAUUGAAACUGGCGGGACCAUCCGCUAAGGCUAAAUACUCCUGAGAGACCGAUAGUGAACCAGUACCGUGAGGGAAAGGUGAAAAGAACCGUGAAUAACGGAGUGAAACAGAUCCUGAAACCAUACGCCUACAAGCGGUCGGAGCUUCUACGUGAAGUGACGGCGUGCCUUUUGCAUAAUGAGCCUACGAGUUACCGUUGCUGGCAAGGAUAAGUGAUUAAGUCAUGGAUCCGUAGCGAAAGCGAGUCUUAAUAGGGCGCUUAAGUCAGUAGUGGUAGACGCGAAACCGUGUGAUCUACCCAUGGGCAGGUUGAAGUUUAGGUAACACUAAAUGGAGGACCGAACCGUUUAACGCUGAAAAGUUUUCGGAUGACCUGUGGGUAGGGGUGAAAGGCCAAUCAAACUCGGAAAUAGCUCGUACUCCCCGAAAUGCAUU
This 778-nucleotide ribosomal RNA is filed under the name Acinetobacter sp. 226-4. Its description in RNAcentral is "partial 23S ribosomal RNA". It matches the Rfam family "Bacterial large subunit ribosomal RNA", at positions 77 to 870 of the family's 2925-position model. The record is from RNAcentral. Lineage: Bacteria; Pseudomonadati; Pseudomonadota; Gammaproteobacteria; Moraxellales; Moraxellaceae.